Molecule: RNA transcript, 3855 nt
Organism: Dioscorea cayenensis subsp. rotundata (Guinea yam)
Lineage: Eukaryota; Viridiplantae; Streptophyta; Magnoliopsida; Dioscoreales; Dioscoreaceae
Gene name: receptor-like protein EIX2
Exons: 2
Source: RefSeq, a predicted model, not a curated record
AACACACAUGCACAUAAUGAGAGUGAUGAAGAGAUAUUCUCAAUUAGCUCUGAUGCUUUGCUUUCUCUGCCUGGAAAUUGUUUGCCUUUGCAAAAGUGAUGGUUCCAUUUGCAGAGAAUUAGAAAGGAAGGCACUUGUUGAUUUCAAACAAGGCCUUAAAGAUCCUAAUGGAUUUCUCUCGUCUUGGAUUGGCCUGGAUUGCUGCUCUUGGAGUGGCGUGCGUUGUCACAACCACACCGGACAUAUUGUAAGGAUUGAUUUACAGUACUCUUUUAUGUUGAUAGGUGAGAUCCAGCCUUUGCUUGUCUUGAAUCACUUGAGAUACUUAGAUCUUAGUGGGAACUUCUUUGAAGAUGAUAGAAUUCCAGCUUAUCUUGGUUCACUAGUGAGUCUUCAAUAUCUCAACCUUUCUCAUGCCAAUUUGAGUGGGCGUGUGCCACACCAACUUGGUAAUUUGUCUAGGUUGCGCUAUCUGGAUCUUUCAUCAAAUUCUCUUUAUGUGAAUUCUCUUCAUGUGAUUGGAAGCCAUUGGCUCACAAAUCUUUCUUCUCUUCAAUACUUGAAUUUGGAUUUUGUGAAUCAUUCCAAGGCAACAAAUGUGCUCAAAGUACUGAGCACACUUCCUUUGAUAUCUGAGAUACACUUGCAUGAUUGUGAGCUUCAUAUCCCUCUUUCACUUGGUGCACACAUUAACUUCACAAAUCUUCAAUUCCUUGAUCUUUCCUCUAACAGUGGCAUUAACUCUACUGUUCCUCUUUGGUUGUUCCAGUUGAGUGGCCUUGAGUAUCUUGAUCUUAGUGAUAAUAAUUUUCAAGAUCUUAUCCCUCAUGCUAUUGGGAAACUUACUUCUCUCAGGGUCCUCACCCUCGAAUACAAUGAAGUCCCAAGUAUUAGACUACCACCUACUCUAGGGGAACUUUGUAACUUGAGCAUACUUACUCUGUCUGGGAAUAAUUAUAUUCCAAGUGAUCUAAAUGGAUUAGGAGAAAUUUUUUCAGGGUGCAUUAAAAAUAGUUUGGAGGAGUUGUAUUGGAGUGGUGCAAAACUCACUGGGCAGUUGCCAAUUUGGUUAGCGAAGCUCAAAUCUCUCAAGACUCUUGAUCUUUCUUUCAAUUCAUUGUAUGGGUCAUUUAUUCAAUUCCGACUACCAUCUAUGCAAGAGUUAAGCCUUGGGGGAAAUCAAUUGAAUGGAACUAUUCUAAAAUAUUUGGGGCAAUUAUUUCCAAAGUUGGUCAAAUUAGAUCUUUCGUAUAAUAAUCUAGCUGGCAUUUUGACAGAAGCACACUUCGAUAAUCUCACAAAUCUAGAAUCUUUAGACAUGAAUUCAAAUGCAUUUGAAUUGAUACUGAGACCUAAGUGGGUUCCUCCACUUGAACUAAAAUAUUUGGAUAUGAGUGACAGCAAAUUAGGACCGAAAUUUCCAUCAUGGCUUCAAAAGUUGAAGAAAGUUUCUUAUAUUAAAAUGUCAAAUGCAAGAAUUAUGGAUGCAUUACCAGUUUGGUUUUGGAACUUCUCUUCUAAUAUUGAAAAUGUAGAUCUAUCUCACAAUGAGAUUAGAGGCAAGCUACCAGCAGGUUCAGCAAAAUUAACCAAUCUUGAAAUUUUGGAUUUAAGUCAUAAUAAUUUGGAAGGACAGUUGCCACAAUUUUCAUCAAAUUUAGUAGAUUUGGAUCAGGCGCAUGGCUUAUUCUCAACGUCCACUUUCUCUAAUACAAGCAUUAUAGUGCCAAGUUUGUUUCAGUUGUAUAUUUAUUCAAACAAAAUAAUGGGAAGUAUUCCCAAAACAUUAUGCACGCUAAGUUAUUUGGCAGUUCUUGACCUCUCACAUAAUAUGAUUGAAGGAGUAGUUCCUGAUUGUUGGAAUCUUUCUUUAUAUUCAUGGUUGGGUGUAAUGGAUUUGUCUCAUAACAAUUUAUUCGGGAUCAUUCCCGCUUCCAUCAGCUCCACAAAUUUGUAUUUUUUGGAUUUGAGUAAUAAUGCAUUUUUUGGUGAGCUCCCAGCUUCUUUUAAAAAUUGCACAUCAUUGUAUGUUUUAGAUCUUGGAUAUAAUAACAUUUGUGGAAGCAUACCAACAUGGCUUGCAGAAAACUCAAAAUAUGAUCUGGAGAUGCUUGAGCUGCGAAAUAAUAUGCUUACUGGAUCUAUUCCUCCACAAUUGGUAAACCUCAUCUAUCUACAUGUUAUUGAUGUUUCAAAUAACCAUCUAUCAGGUGCCAUACCACAUAGUUUUGGCAACUUCAGUGCCAUGAAAACUGGUAUGGGAGUACCUUCGAUUUCGGUAGGUGGUUAUAGGAGUAAUAUUGAGAUAAAUUUAAAAGGAAGAGAUGUGCAAUUGGAAUGGCUGUCUGAAAUACUUAUUUGCAUUGACCUCUCGAAUAACAUGUUAUCAGGAGAGAUACCUGAAGAACUAGGGCAACUUUCUUUGCUGCAGAGUUUGAAUUUAUCCAAAAAUCAAUUAUCAGGACAACUUUCAGAGAAAAUCGGCCAGCUCAGGUGGUUGGAAGUUCUUGAUUUAUCAGUGAAUAAUCUUUCAGGUGUUAUUCCUCCGACAAUGACCAACUUAACAUCAUUGAAUCAUCUGAAUUUAUCUUACAACAAUUUCUAUGGUGAAAUUCCAUACGGUGGCCAAUUGCAAGUUCUUCCAGAUCCAUCUAUUUAUAAUGGCAACCAAGGUCUGUGUGGUUAUCCAUUAGAUAAAAAAUGUGAGAUUACAGCACCAGCACAACCACCCUCAUUGCCAAACAAUGAAGACGAUGACAACAACUUGGAGACCAUAUGGUUUUAUUUGAGCAUGUCACUGGGAUUCAUAUUUGGAUUUUGGGUAAUUUCUGGUGCAUUGAUUCUGAAAAAGAGGUGGAGGUAUGCUUAUUUUCGAUUUAUUGAUCAUAUUUAUGAUAAGAUUUAUGUUAUUGUUGCUGUAAAUCUAAAUAAAAUGAAGAGAAAAUGUGGCCUUGCUAGUGAAUAGUGUUACCUUUUUUUCUUGGAGGCCAAAAUAAAAUAUUACAAUCCAUAUAAGUAUUACAAGGGCAAGUAAUUAGUAGUACGAGGUUAUCUAGAGUUCAGUAUUUUACUGCCUGCUUGUAUUAAUUAUAUGCAUAAACUGUCAUGAGAACUCUUUUGAGAAUGUAAUUUUAAUUUGUUAUGAAAUGUUAUCCAGUGUAUUUAUUUAUUCUCUUAUGUUAAUGUUAGUGUUAAUAGAGCAUAUUAUAUGUAAGUCGAAGACAUCAAUGUGCUUGAUCUUCCUGUGUUAGUGAAAGUUUUCAGUGAGUAUAUAUAUACUUGACAAAGCUUCUCAAAAGACAAAGCUUCAUCAGAAGUGAUCCUGGUUCUUUAAUUCUUCAACUAGUUUCUAUGUUUUCUGCAAGUUCGCCUUAAUUUCUCUUGAAUAUACCUCAUCAUCAAAAAUUCUGGAGAUAUGCCCCAUGUGGUUCUAUAAAUUACCUUUUCUAAGAGAAUGACAAUUUGAUCAAGCUAGCAAUUUCUUACGUUAUAUAUGAUCUGCAUGCAGCAUGCCAACAAUAUAAUACAAUACAAAGUGGCAUGCAACCAUAUAUCAACCAUGAUUUUACAAGGGAGAUACAUCUAUAUAUAAUAUAUCUAUUGUUCUGGCUCUUAAUUAAUAUGCUUCAAAGCAUGCACACAAUCCGGCCCAUAUAUUUACAUGGAUGUGGGAAUUACAAAAAGGAUCCAUCGUUUGAAUGCAUUUGGGUUGAGGAUCAUGAAGCUAAACAUAGAGUUUGCCUUACAUCAAUGUUGUGGUAUUUUCAUACUUCUCUUGGGAGUAAAGCAGUAAUUGUCCAAGUGAUAUAAGAGGUUUGUUAAUUAGACAUGCUUUUUUAUUAUCUGUGCUUUAAA